AGGAUAAACGUUGGCGGCGUGCCUAACGCAUGCAAGUCGCACGGGGGCUUCGGCCCUAGUGGCGGACGGGUGAGUAACACGUAGGGACCUGCCCGGAAGUGGGGGACAACUUCCCGAAAGGGAAGCUAAUACCGCAUACGGUCUACGGACCAAAGCAGCAAUGCGCUUCUGGAGGGUCCUGCGGUGGAUUAGCUUGUUGGUGGGGUAACGGCCUACCAAGGCGACGAUCCAUAGCUGGUCUGAGAGGAUGAUCAGCCACACUGGGACUGAGACACGGCCCAGACUCCUACGGGAGGCAGCAGCGAGGAAUUUUGCACAAUCGACGCAAGUCGGAUGCAGCAACGCCGCGUGGGGGAAGAAGGCUUUCGAGUUGUAAACCCCUUUGUGAGGAAGAAGAAUCUGACGGUACCUCAACGAAUAAAGUCACGGCUAACUACGGGCCAGCAGCCGC
This 451-nucleotide ribosomal RNA is filed under the name uncultured soil bacterium. RNAcentral describes it as "bacterial SSU rRNA". It matches the Rfam family "Bacterial small subunit ribosomal RNA", at positions 26 to 518 of the family's 1533-position model. The record is from RNAcentral.